GAUGAACGCUGGCGGCGUGCCUAAUACAUGCCAGUCGAGCGAACGGACGAGAAGCUUGCUUCUCUGAUGUUAGCGGCGGACGGGUGAGUAACACGUGGAUAACCUACCUAUAAGACUGGGAUAACUUCGGGAAACCGGAGCUAAUACCGGAUAAUAUUUUGAACCGCAUGGUUCAAAAGUGAAAGACGGUCUUGCUGUCACUUAUAGAUGGAUCCGCGCUGCAUUAGCUAGUUGGUAAGGUAACGGCUUACCAAGGCAACGAUGCAUAGCCGACCUGAGAGGGUGAUCGGCCACACUGGAACUGAGACACAGUCCAGACUCCUACGGGAGGCAGCAGUAGGGAAUCUUCCGCAAUGGGCGAAAGCCUGACGGAGCAACGCCGCGUGAGUGAUGAAGGUCUUCGGAUCGUAAAACUCUGUUAUUAGGGAAGAACAUAUGUGUAAGUAACUGUGCACAUCUUGACGGUACCUAAUCAGAAAGCCACGGCUAACUACGUG
RNAcentral lists this ribosomal RNA (497 nucleotides) under uncultured bacterium. RNAcentral's name for it is "partial 16S ribosomal RNA". It matches the Rfam family "Bacterial small subunit ribosomal RNA", at positions 28 to 507 of the family's 1533-position model. The record is from RNAcentral.